Molecule: ribosomal RNA, 495 nt
Filed under: uncultured bacterium
Lineage: Bacteria
Description: partial 16S ribosomal RNA
Rfam family: Bacterial small subunit ribosomal RNA
Source: RNAcentral
GACGAACGCUGGCGGCGUGCCUAAUACAUGCAAGUAGAACGCUGAAGGAGGAGCUUGCUUCUCUGGAUGAGUUGCGAACGGGUGAGUAACGCGUAGGUAACCUGCCUGGUAGCGGGGGAUAACUAUUGGAAACGAUAGCUAAUACCGCAUACGAGUAGAUGUCGCAUGACAUUUGCUUAAAAGGUGCAAUUGCAUCACUACCAGAUGGAACUGCGUUGUAUUAGCUAGUUGGUGAGGUAACGGCUCACCAAGGCAACGAUACAUAGACGACCUGCGAGGGUGAUCGGCCACACUGGGACUGAGGCACGGCCCAGACUCCUACGGGAGGCAGCAGUAGGGAAUCUUCGGCAAUGGACGGAAGUCUGACCGAGCAACGCCGCGUGAGUGAAGAAGGUUUUCGGAUCGUAAAGCUCUGUUGUAAGAGAAGAACGAGUGUGAGAGUGGAAAGUUCACACUGUGACGGUAUCUUACCAGAAAGGGACGGCUAACUACGUG